AGCUGAAGGGAUGUGAUUGUUCUGAAGGCUCGCAGUAGAUUUAUCCAGUGUUACAGCAGGGUACUGUAAGCCCACUGUUACUGCCUGGGAGUCCCUGGUACAGCACGGAACAUCUCUUGUUAAGGCCUCCAGGCUCUCUCACUCUCACACACACCAACACAGCAAAAAUGUGCCAAUGUGUGCUCGAGAAUGCCACAGGCUGGUGUCCUUCCCUCAGUCUCUUAUUCCUAACUCUUUCCAACCAGCCCCAAGAUGUUCUUCAAGAGCGAGUCUCGUUUUUCUUCAGCAACAGCAGCUGGAAACAGUGCCGCCUGACACAUUGCCAGCUCUCACCGACUGGUUCCUCUGCUUCCCUCUGACAGGAGCAAAGGCUACGGCCCAAUGCUUACUCAGAAACAGAGACCCUGAGGUACCAGACAUAGUGAGAUGGAAAGGAUAUAGGGAUUCCAGACGUGUCUCAAGAUCAGGAGACACUACAGUAUGGACCUAAGUGGGGGCUGGACCUCCACUACAUGAACAAAUGUUAACCAAACAGCAUCAAGUCCUAUCUACUGCAAUACGGAGUGAUCGACAUGCUGGCUUGGGAAACAAGCAUUGCUUCAUCAUUAAGUAAUGUACAACGUCUGGGUUUUUAGCCUAUCACAUCUCAUCUGAUUCAGCAGCAGUGAGGUGGAGCUCUAAUCUGAGCUGUGGCACAAAUGUGCAACAUCAGCUAAUAAAGUUCAACAUCUGAACCAGCAUCUGUAUCAGAUUUGGGUCAGCUGCGUAGACUAAACAG
This is a long non-coding RNA of Cyprinus carpio (common carp), 778 nucleotides long. RefSeq lists it as uncharacterized. Lineage: Eukaryota; Metazoa; Chordata; Actinopteri; Cypriniformes; Cyprinidae. The record is from RefSeq and is a predicted model, not a curated record.